AACGAACGCUGGCGGCAUGCCUAACACAUGCAAGUCGAACGAGACCUUCGGGUCUAGUGGCGCACGGGUGCGUAACGCGUGGGAACCUGCCCUUAGGUUCGGAAUAACUCCCCGAAAGGGGUGCUAAUACCGGAUAAUGUCUUCGGACCAAAGAUUUAUCGCCUUUGGAUGGGCCCGCGUUGGAUUAGCUAGUUGGUAGGGUAAAAGCCUACCAAGGCGACGAUCCAUAGCUGGUCUGAGAGGAUGAUCAGCCACACUGGGACUGAGACACGGCCCAGACUCCUACGGGAGGCAGCAGUGGGGAAUAUUGGACAAUGGGCGAAAGCCUGAUCCAGCAAUGCCGCGUGAGUGAUGAAGGCCUGAGGGUUGUAAAGCUCUUUUACCCGGGAUGAUAAUGACAGUACCGGGAGAAUAAGCUCCGGCUAACUCCGUG
RNAcentral lists this ribosomal RNA (433 nucleotides) under uncultured bacterium. RNAcentral describes it as "partial 16S ribosomal RNA". It matches the Rfam family "Bacterial small subunit ribosomal RNA", at positions 29 to 507 of the family's 1533-position model. The record is from RNAcentral.